Molecule: non-coding RNA, 113 nt
Organism: Stegodyphus mimosarum
Lineage: Eukaryota; Metazoa; Arthropoda; Arachnida; Araneae; Eresidae
Source: Rfam
ACAGGUACGGAGACAUGGUGCCAGACACCCCUACGGGUAAAAUCGUGGGAGGUAUCUGCUCCUUGAGCGGCGUAUUGGUAAUUGCCUUACCGGUACCGGUCAUUGUCUCCAAU